Molecule: non-coding RNA, 91 nt
Organism: Mycena filopes
Lineage: Eukaryota; Fungi; Basidiomycota; Agaricomycetes; Agaricales; Mycenaceae
Source: the annotation of a GenBank genome assembly
GGCUUGAUGGUGUAAUGGUAACACAUCCCAUUCCAUUGUAGAAGUACCAGAUGUUGUUAGGAAGUUCCUUGUUCGACUCAAGGUCAGGCCA